Salarias fasciatus (jewelled blenny) is the source of this 254-nucleotide long non-coding RNA. RefSeq lists it as uncharacterized. The transcript has 3 exons. The record is from RefSeq and is a predicted model, not a curated record. NCBI's taxonomy places the organism in Eukaryota, Metazoa, Chordata, Actinopteri, Blenniiformes, Blenniidae.
GGUGAUCCAGGUAAGCAGUCUCAUUAGAAAGUCAUGAGUCAGUUAGGACUGUGUCAGAAAAAGAAGAACCAGACUGACUGAAGGCUGAUGGAUGAAGAGGACGAGGAGAAUAGAGCCGACUGUCAGUCCAUGAAGAGUGACCAGUCCAAAGAAUCUCCUCUACACUUCACUACUGAACCUGGAGCCUCAGACUCAGAGCAGAACUGGAGUGAUGUCUGUGAGGAGCAGCCAGAAGGAUCCAGAAGCAGAGCUGC